RNAcentral lists this ribosomal RNA (462 nucleotides) under uncultured bacterium. RNAcentral describes it as "partial 16S ribosomal RNA". It matches the Rfam family "Bacterial small subunit ribosomal RNA", at positions 28 to 523 of the family's 1533-position model. The record is from RNAcentral.
GAUGAACGCUGGCGGCGUGCCUAAAAACAUGCAAGUCGUGCGGCAGCGGGCCUUCGGGUGCCGGCGAGCGGCGGACGGGUGAGUAACGCGUAGGAACGUACCCCAAAGUGAGGGAUAAGCUCCGGAAACGGAGUCUAAUACCGCAUAUGCUCUUAGGAGUAAAGGAGUAAUCCGCUUUGGGAGCGGCCUGCGUCCGAUUAGUUUGUUGGUGAGGUAAUGGCUUACCAAGACGAUGAUCGGUAGCUGGUUUGAGAGGAUGAUCAGCCACACUGGGACUGAGACACGGCCCAGACUCCUACGGGAGGCAGCGGUUAGGAAUGUUCCACAAUGGGGGCAACCCUGAUGGAGCAACGCCGCGUGCAGGAAGACGGCCUUCGGGUUGUAAACUGCUUUUAAAAGUGAAGAUUAUGACGGUAACUUUAGAAUAAGGAUCGGCUAACUCCGUGCCAGCCGCCGCCGUAA